This 216-nucleotide long non-coding RNA is filed under the name Capsicum annuum. RNAcentral's name for it is "long non-coding RNA (CANN_LNC017001)". Lineage: Eukaryota; Viridiplantae; Streptophyta; Magnoliopsida; Solanales; Solanaceae. The record is from RNAcentral.
UUAUCUUAACCAUUCGUUGGAAUAGAUUGUCUCUUAUGCCUCAAUUUUCUUACUAUCUUCUUGUUGUUAUUGCUUAUGUCUCCAUGAAUGUUGUCGUUUUGCUUUCCUUGAGCCAAGGGUCUAUAUGAAAGGCAUAGGUAAGGUCUAUGGUAGCAUUAUUUGUAGGCUCAAAUUUAUAUCUAUGUUCUACUGUUAUAUGAAAAUAACUUGUAAACA